AUUGAACGCUGGCGGAAUGCUUUACACAUGCAAGUCGCACGGCAGCACGGGGGCAACCCUGGUGGCGAGUGGCGAACGGGUGAGUAAUACAUCGGAACGUGCCCAGUCGUGGGGGAUAACGUAGCGAAAGUUACGCUAAUACCGCAUACGACCUACGGAUCAAAGCGGGGGACCGCAAGGCCUCGCGCGAUUGGAGCGGCCGAUGUCAGAUUAGGUAGUUGGUGAGGUAAAGGCUCACCAAGCCGACGAUCUGUAGCUGGUCUGAGAGGACGACCAGCCACACUGGGACUGAGACACGGCCCAGACUCCUACGGGAGGCAGCAGUGGGGAAUUUUGGACAAUGGGCGCAAGCCUGAUCCAGCCAUGCCGCGUGCAGGACGAAGGCCUUCGGGUUGUAAACUGCUUUUGUACGGAACGAAAAGGCUCUGGUUAAUACCUGGGGCUCAUGACGGUACCGUAAGAAUAAGCACCGGCUAACUACGUGCCAGCAGCCGCCGUAA
This 500-nucleotide ribosomal RNA is filed under the name uncultured bacterium. RNAcentral describes it as "partial 16S ribosomal RNA". It matches the Rfam family "Bacterial small subunit ribosomal RNA", at positions 29 to 523 of the family's 1533-position model. The record is from RNAcentral.